This 237-nucleotide ribosomal RNA is filed under the name uncultured bacterium. RNAcentral describes it as "partial 16S ribosomal RNA". It matches the Rfam family "Bacterial small subunit ribosomal RNA", at positions 102 to 334 of the family's 1533-position model. The record is from RNAcentral.
CCGACGGGUGAGUAACACGUAUCCAACCUGCCGUCUACUCUUGGCCAGCCUUCUGAAAGGAAGAUUAAUCCAGGAUGGCAUCAUGAGUUCACAUGUCCGCAUGAUUAAAGGUAUUUUCCGGUAGACGAUGGGGAUGCGUUCCAUUAGAUAGUAGGCGAGGUAACGGCCCACCUAGUCAACGAUGGAUAGGGGUUCUGAGAGGAAGGUCCCCCACAUUGGAACUGAGACACGGUCCAA